RNAcentral lists this ribosomal RNA (253 nucleotides) under uncultured bacterium. RNAcentral's name for it is "partial 16S ribosomal RNA". It matches the Rfam family "Bacterial small subunit ribosomal RNA", at positions 524 to 776 of the family's 1533-position model. The record is from RNAcentral.
UACGUAGGGUGCAAGCGUUAAUCGGAAUUACUGGGCGUAAAGCGUGCGCAGGCGGUUUUGCAAGACAGAUGUGAAAUCCCAGGGCUCAACCUGGGAACUGCAUUUGAAACUGCAAGGCUGGAGUGCGGCAGAGGGGGAUGGAAUUCCGCGUGUAGCGGUGAAAUGCGUAGAUAUGCGGAGGAACACCGAUGGCGAAGGCAAUCCCCUGGGCCUGUACUGACGCUGAUGCACGAAAGCGUGGGGAGCAAACAGG